This 162-nucleotide ribosomal RNA is filed under the name Borya laciniata. RNAcentral's name for it is "5.8S ribosomal RNA". It matches the Rfam family "5.8S ribosomal RNA". From Rfam's summary of the family: 5.8S ribosomal RNA (5.8S rRNA) is a component of the large subunit of the eukaryotic ribosome. Lineage: Eukaryota; Viridiplantae; Streptophyta; Magnoliopsida; Asparagales; Boryaceae. The record is from RNAcentral.
UACGACUCUCGGCAACGGAUAUCUCGGCUCUCGCAUCGAUGAAGAACGUAGCGAAAUGCGAUACUUGGUGUGAAUUGCAGAAUCCCGUGAACCAUCGAGUCUUUGAACGCAAGUUGCGCCCGAGGCCUUCCGGCCGAGGGCACGCCUGCCUGGGCGUCACGC